Molecule: long non-coding RNA, 3498 nt
Organism: Gavialis gangeticus (Gharial)
Lineage: Eukaryota; Metazoa; Chordata; Crocodylia; Gavialidae
Exons: 3
Source: RefSeq, a predicted model, not a curated record
AAUGCGAAGCCCCAAUGGAUCCAAGGACUCAGCGCCAGCCAAGUUUUAAAUGACUUUAUUUACAAUAAACAGUAUAAUUAAACACUGAAGAAAGGCAGGAAGAGAACAGAAAGCAAGAAUAAGUCAACCUGCUCGAGAAACUUGUAAAUGGCCUUGCUUUGUUUAUGCCUCCUUUUUUUUUAAAUACAGUAAAAAAUAUCCUAAACAAGAGUCACACAGUUUAAAAGAAAAAAAAAAAAAGCAUUUUCUUGAAGACAGAAGUGCUCUCUAAAUACCUCAUUGCAGAGGAGAGUGGCUAAACGCAUGAUGAAGCAAGUUCCCGUCUCCGGCGUCUCAGAGCAGAGGAAACCUACGGGGGAGGUGCAUGUUCGGCUGGUUUCUUUUCAAUUAAAAAACAAUCUACUCGGCCUUCAGCUUUCUGAAGAAAGCUCUGUCCGAGUGCAAUGGUUUUCUAGCCAGAUCCAAACCAGAGCAGAGCUUCAUUCACUAAUAGAUAUUCAGAUAAUUAAAAACAACCCUGCAAUGUUAGUCCCCCGCGGGUAGGAGCCUACUGGAGGGCAACGACGGAGUAGCCCAAAGCGUUACGAAGCCUGGGCUCUGCAGUGUUUUCUAAAGCAACCUCUACACUCUCGGGUGCCUGGUUCUCCACACUGGAGUGUAACCCAGGAGCUGCCCCAGUCCUGUGAGUCUGGGAAGGAGCGGGCUGGCAGGGCGCAUGGCUUCAUGCUUCUCCAUCCCCCUGAAGCCCCAAGCUGUUCCCCCCAGGGUCAUGCUAGCUGGGGGGAAGAAGCAGGGACUGGGGGAUGGAGAAAGCCCUCCAACUUCCUGGUUCAAAACCAUGGUCCGACAUCCCUGGAGAGCCUAAACACAUUCGUGGUGCACCGCGACAUUAGCCACAGGUGGCUGUGGGCAGAGCUAUGAUUUCUACCGAAUAGGCCAGGCUCCUCCCUACAUCCAGGCUCAACCAGCAUCACCACCUUUGCCUGUGUUGAAGCUUUGGAUUUGGACAUGAGCACAGGGCAGGAUGGGCUCCCAGAAAGGCCCGGGGUAUUCUGCUCAUGCCAGGCCAGCCCGCCGCCAACCCACAGGGACCGAAGACCCACUCAGCCCUGCCCCAGCUGUCAAACAGGCUGUGAAGCCAAUGGCUGGAGCACAUGGGGCUGUUACUGUGACACUGUGGCUUGAAUGGGUGCAGUGAUCCCACACCAGCUGGACAAUAAAUCUGUCCAGGAGAAACUUCCUGGGCAGAAAAGCCUUUGUGUUUCGAAGCCAAGAGGCUCAGUCCCCCACGGAGAAUGGGGACAGGCCAGGCUGGUUCUCUGAGAGCAGGUACUAGCUCAUAAGGGUGGCAUCCGGAGAGUGACAGCCAGGAUGGCUGGCCUCCAUGGUCACGCCUUGCUAACUCCUGACACCAGUGGCAUUACCAGAUUACAGAGCAGAGCCCAGCCCCAGUUUAGAGGCCUGCAGAGAGUGACCCGAGAGGACCCCUGGUGCCACAGCAAAGCUUACAGCUGCAGUUCCCCCAGCCCUGAGUGCUGUGGUGUAGACUGGAUUCUGGGGCAUUCAUUUGCCCAUCAUGAUACCUGCAUCCUAGUCUACAUUGUCAUCUCCACCAACUGAACUUGCUAGGAUAAGCAGAGCCUCGGAGCCCAGGUGCAGCUGCUGGCUUCCCCAGUAGGGCUGUGUUUGGAGCUGGCACGGCCCCUGGCCCCUCUGCCUGCCCUUGAGGAGGUGGAAGUGGGUGGCUGGAAAGGGUGUCACUAGCACAUGGCGAUGGAACUGUUUUCCAGCCAGCAGCAACUGAGGCAAGAAGGGAAGAGAGAAGGACAGCGGCCUACAAGGCUCCUGGGCCCAUCUAGGAAUGAGGGAAGUGUCUCUGCAGGUAUUACUCCUGAGACUCUGCCUGACAGGUGGUUUGUAACUCCAUAAAGAGGAACCUCUUCCCUCAGGGCUGUUGGGACCGUCUAUUCUUGUGUCUGCAGUUGUCCUUCUCGGAGAAGGUUGGCACAACCACUGAGGACUCCCCAACCACUUAGCUGGUGGACAACUAGGGUCGUAUGUGAGCAUGAGUGCAGGUGCAAGCGUGAGGGAGAGAAGGCUUUAACACAACAGCUGCAAACAAAAGCAGCGUCAAACAGGCUAAAUUGAAAUCCUUCCUUCUCCUCCGGGAAUCUUGUUUCCCUUGCUACAGUCCCUACCAUUGCAUAGUCCUAAGACUCCCUUGUCUCCCAGGGACCAACCACGUGCAAAACUAAUGAGAGGUGGGGGAGAGCCAUCAGCCUUCUUCCCCUUCCAUUUAUCACCAUUAAGCAGCCAGAAAACACAGAAACCCACUGAUUUCUCGGUUGCCAUGAAAAGCCAGCACACAAAUUCGCUACUGAAUGGGCUUACAGCUGCUACACCUCAGCCCGGGAUCAGUGCAGGCAGGGGCCAGCCUGGCAGGCUCUGAGGAUACUUUUAUAAGAGCAGAAGAGAUGGUUUGAGAAACCACAGGCAAAAAUGAUGGAAGCAGCGGCAGCACCAUUCAGGUGUGAAACUCUCAAAUGGAGAUCUCUGGGAAGCUGGCCUGGGCUCUUAGGCCCCGAAGCCAUACAGGUGGCACCAAGGGAGGGACAGACAUCAACCAGCUUUCGGUGCCCUGGAAGUCUCCAUGCGAGGAAAGCAGCUCCCCUGGCUCCAGGCCUGCUCACAAGCCCCAGGAGGGGGUCAGUCAGGACCCAGUUUGUGCUGGGGGUCUGGCGAGGGCUGUGCACUGACUGCAGCUGCCGGGAAGGAGGUGAUUGCCGCUGUCACAGCUGAGCACGGUGGGGGGACUUUGAGCUGGUGCGUGAGGGGCAUCUGUAGAUAUGUGGCCUUUGGGCCACGUGGGUGCAGGCCCUCACCACGGAUCUGUCCAUUCACACCCUCCUGCUGCGCAGCAAUCCCUGCGCUGGCAGCUUCCCCGGCUCAACGCCCUGCCCCCAUGGCCCGUUCCUGUUCACCAGCAACGGCCUGGGGCUCACGUAGUUUCAGCUCCACGAUGGUACACAAUGCCCCCAAAGCUAAACACUGGGAGGCCUAAAUUGGGAGGGAAGCCUGCCAGCUGACGGCCAUGAAUCCCUGCCCCCAGCACGGUAGAUUGGAGCAUACGAUGCCUGGUGCUUUGCUGGUUGACUGGUGACUGGUUGAUUGCUUCCUGCAUGGAGUGGAAGAGGAGACCCUGAUCCUCAUAUUGCUGCCUUUUGGGGCAGGAGCUGCACAUGUUGCAGUUGAGGAACAAGCUGACAAAUGUCUCGCUGCACUGUGUGCACCCUCCACAUGUGAUCUGGAGCAGCGCACUGUGUCUAGCCCAGCCCAUCCUCUCUGUUCAUCCAUCUCGUCCAGCGACUGCCGUUCAUGACUGGGUGUUGUUAGCAUGCUCCUCCAGAGAGUCUGCACCAUGGACCCUGAACUGAUCAAACCACUCAUGCCAGCCCCACUGCAGAUGAUGCAGGGAAGGGAAGGAGCCUCGGGGAGUUG